UUGGUCUUAUCGAUCGGGGGAAGGGUUUUGGACUUGGAGGCUUUUGCUGGUUUCAUCUUGAAGCGAGCUCCUCCCAAACGAAUUAGUGGGGUCCGCUUUGCCGAUCCUUGACGUGAUAAGAUGUUUUCUACGUCUUGGGUUUGGCACUGUCACUUGGGCACCUGCUUCUAACCGUCUCAUCGACAAUGAUGGCGUUCCGGUCACCGCCGUUCAAUCGGCGGGAGGCUUGACCCACAAAAAACCUUGACCUCAAAUCGGGUGAGACUACCCGCUGAACUUAAGCAUAUCAAUAAGCGGAGG
This 300-nucleotide ribosomal RNA is filed under the name uncultured Russula. RNAcentral's name for it is "eukaryotic LSU rRNA". The stretch from base 245 to 300 matches the Rfam family "Eukaryotic large subunit ribosomal RNA", at positions 1 to 56 of the family's 3401-position model. The record is from RNAcentral. Lineage: Eukaryota; Fungi; Basidiomycota; Agaricomycetes; Russulales; Russulaceae.